AAUAAGUUGGCAGAAUAUUGCACCCGACUUAGGAUCGGGACAUGAACCUCCCUUCACUUAUUA
Molecule: transfer RNA, 63 nt
Filed under: Pontoscolex corethrurus
Lineage: Eukaryota; Metazoa; Annelida; Clitellata; Crassiclitellata; Glossoscolecidae
Description: tRNA-Leu
Source: RNAcentral